UGAACACUGAAAACAAUAUUUAAAUUUUUAAACGGAUUCAAAGUUGGAAUACAUUUUACUUUUUGAGUUUAGUCUAAUAAUUUGCUAUAUUCUUUAAUCUUUUCUUUAAAUAGUAUUUGUGUAUUUCCAAUGAGUAUUUAAUAGAACAUAUGAAAUAUACAUUGCAAGUCAUACUGCUGCCUAACAUAUAAAAAAAAAAAGGAAAAUAUAUCAAAAGAACAAUUUAUUAAAUAAAAAUACGAGAAUUAAGUACUCAAUUUAGCAAAUAAUGUGUAAUGUAUGUUAAUUAUUUGAGUUUCAAGUAAAUUUUUGCUGUUCAUAUGUCCAAUGAAAUGGUCAUUUAUUUCUGUUAAAUAACUCAUUUAACUAUGGUUGUAUAUAUUAUAUUAAAAAUCAAAACAUAUUGUAAAAUUAAUUCAUGUAUUAAAGUAUCUAAAUAUUAUUAUUUUAAACUAUUGUACAUAUUUUAAACAAAUUCUUUAUUCAAUUUUUUAGUAAAAAUGUAAUUAAUAUUCUAUAGUUAAUAUUUAUAUUACUAAUGUCAACAUUUAAGUUAAUUUAUAAAAUAUAUCAUUAUAUUUUAUAUUCUUUGACUUAUUUAAGACUAUACAGUACACAGAUUUUACCACCAUAAAAACAUUUUAAUUUAAGCAAAAUCUACUCCAUACUCCCAAUUUAUAAUGUUUAUUUAUAUACUAUAUGCUAU
Molecule: non-coding RNA, 706 nt
Organism: Cinara cedri
Lineage: Eukaryota; Metazoa; Arthropoda; Insecta; Hemiptera; Aphididae
Source: the annotation of a GenBank genome assembly